CCUGAAGGCUGCCGUCUAUUGUAUAAAGCUAGAAGGGUGUGAGACUGUAUGGCUAUAAGGUUGUAUCCCCUGAAAGCUACCGUCUAUUGUAUAAAGCUAGAAGGGUGUGAGACUGUAUGGCUAUAAGGUUGUAUCCCCUGAAGGCUGCCGUCUAUUGUAUAAAGCUAGAAGGGUGUGAGACUGUAUGGCUAUAAGGUUGUAUCCUCUGAAGGCUGCCGUCUAUUGUAUAAAGCUAGAAGGGUGUGAGACUGUAUGGCUAUAAGGUUGUAUCCCCUGAAGGCUACCGUCUUGUAUAUAAAGCUAGAAGGGUGUGAGACUGUAUGGCUAUAAGGUUGUAUCCCCUGAAGGCUGCCGUCUUUUGUAUAAAGCUAGAAGGGUGUGAGACUGUAUGGCUAUAAGGUUGUAUCCCCUGAAGGCUGCCGUCUUGUAUAUAAAGCUAGAAGGGUGUGAGACUGUAUGGCUAUAAGGUUGUAUCCCCUGAAGGCUGCCGUCUAUUGUAUAAAGUUAGAAGGGUGUGAGACUGUAUGGCUAUAAGGUUUUAUCCCCGGAAGGCUGCCGUCUAUUGUAUAAAGCUAGAAGGGUGUGUGACUGUAUGGCUAUAAGGUUGUAUCCCCUGAAGGCUGCCGUCUUGUAUAUAAAGCUAGAAGGGUGUGUGACUGUAUGGCUAUAAGGUUGUAUCCCCUGAAGGCUGCCGUCUUGUAUAUAAAGCUAGAAGGGUGUGAGACUGUAUGGCUAUAAGGUUGUAUCCCCUGAAGGCUGCCGUCUAUUGUAUAAAGCUAGAAGGGUGUGAGACUGUAUGGCUAUAAGGUUGUAUCCCCUGAAGGCUGCCGUCUAUUGUAUAAAGCUAGAAGGGUGUGAGACUGUAUGGCUAUAAGGUUGUAUCCCCUGAAGGCUGCCGUCUAUUGUAUAAAGCUAGAAGGGUGUGAGACUGUAUGGCUAUAAGGUUGUAUCCCCUGAAGGCUGCCGUCUAUUGUAUAAAGCUAGAAGGGUGUGAGACUGUAUGGCUAUAAGGUUGUAUCCCCUGAAAGCUACCGUCUAUUGUAUAAAGCUAGAAGGGUGUGAGACUGUAUGGCUAUAAGGUUGUAUCCUCUGAAGGCUACCGUCUAUUGUAUAAAGCUAGAAGGGUGUGAGACUGUAUGGCUAUAAGGUUGUAUCCCCUGAAAGCUACCGUCUUUUGUAUAAAGCUAGAAGGGUGUGAGACUGUAUGGCUAUAAGGUUUUAUCCCCUGAAGGCUGCCGUCUUGUAUAUAAAGCUAGAAGGGUGUGUGACUGUAUGGCUAUAAGGUUUUAUCCCCUGAAGGCUGCCGUCUUGUAUAUAAAGUUAGAAGGGUGUGAGACUGUAUGGCUAUAAGGUUGUAUCCCCUGAAGGCUGCCGUCUAUUGUAUAAAGCUAGAAGGGUGUGAGACUGUAUGGCUAUAAGGUUGUAUCCUCUGAAGGCUGCCGUCUUGUAUAUAAAGCUAGAAGGGUGUGAGACUGUAUGGCUAUAAGGUUGUAUCCCCUGAAGGCUACCGUCUAUUGUAUAAAGCUAGAAGGGUGUGUGACUGUAUGGCUAUAAGGUUUUAUCCCCUGAAGGCUACCGUCUAUUGUAUAAAGCUAGAAGGGUAUGAGACUGUAUGGCUAUAAGGUUUUACCCUCUGAAGGCUGCCGUCUAUUGUAUAAAGCUAGAAGGGUGUGAGACUGUAUGGCUAUAAGGUUUUAUCCCCGGAAGGCUGCCGUCUAUUGUAUAAAGUUAGAAGGGUGUGAGACUGUAUGGCUAUAAGGUUGUAUCCCCUGAAGGCUGCCGUCUUUUGUAUAAAGCUAGAAGGGUGUGAGACUGUAUGGCUAUAAGGUUUUAUCCCCUGAAGGCUGCCGUCUAUUGUAUAUAAAGUUAGAAGGGUGUGUGACUGUAUGGCUAUAAGGCUUGUUAGGCAUGUCUACAUAGUGUUUAUAUUGUGUUACGCCAAUAUAUCGCUCGAAUCAUAUUUAUCAAAUCGUUACAUUUGAUUAUCAUUAUUAUUAAAUCAGUUAGCUAAGUAAAA
This is a long non-coding RNA of Pecten maximus, 2017 nucleotides long. RefSeq lists it as uncharacterized. The transcript is spliced from 2 exons. The record is from RefSeq and is a predicted model, not a curated record. NCBI's taxonomy places the organism in Eukaryota, Metazoa, Mollusca, Bivalvia, Pectinida, Pectinidae.